UGAUGAGGAUAAUGAACACCAGGAAAAGGAAGCCAAAGAUGUAGUAGAACUGGUGAAGCCAAAUCGAUGUGAGGAUGAAGAAGAGCUCAAUAAAGACAGCCCCAAAUGGAAGAAUGCCACCAAUAAGAACGGUGAAGGCAGGGUUCAUGUACCAAGACUGCUCAGGGAUCUGUCUUGGGAUCUUGUUAGUCUUCACCGGAGCCUCAAUGGCAGGUUGCUUGAAGCCCAGGUAGCUCCCAACAAAUACAAGAGGAACUGAGAUACCAAACCAUAGGAGGACCAAGGCAAACAUUGUGGUGAAAGGAACAGCACCAGACGACUUCUCCCCCCAUAUAAGAGCAUUCAGGAUGAAGAAAAUACUGAAAGCAAUCCCAGGAAACAGGAAGGCAGUCUUUAGGGUGAUACUCUUCCAUUCUGAUCCUUUAAACAUCUUAUAGAAGCGUGAAGAAGCAUAUCCAGC
Molecule: long non-coding RNA, 460 nt
Filed under: Setaria italica (foxtail millet)
Lineage: Eukaryota; Viridiplantae; Streptophyta; Magnoliopsida; Poales; Poaceae
Description: long non-coding RNA (SITA_LNC004865)
Source: RNAcentral